GAUGAACGCUGGCGGCGUGCCUAAUACAUGCAAGUCGAGCGAACGGACGAGAAGCUUGCUUCUCUGAUGUUAGCGGCGGACGGGUGAGUAACACGUGGAUAACCUACCUAUAAGACUGGGAUAACUUCGGGAAACCGGAGCUAAUACCGGAUAAUAUUUUGAACCGCAUGGUUCAAAAGUGAAAGACGGUCUUGCUGUCACUUAUAGAUGGAUCCGCGCUGCAUUAGCUAGUUGGUAAGGUAACGGCUUACCAAGGCAACGAUGCAUAGCCGACCUGAGAGGUGGAUCGGCCACACUGGAACUGAGACACGGUCCAGACUCCUACGGGAGGCAGCAGUAGGGAAUCUUCCGCAAUGGGCGAAAGCCUGACGGAGCAACGCCGCGUGAGUGAUGAAGGUCUUCGGAUCGUAAAACUCUGUUAUUAGGGAAGAACAUAUGUGUAAGUAACUGUGCACAUCUUGACGGUACCUAAUCAGAAAGCCACGGCUAACUACGU
Molecule: ribosomal RNA, 496 nt
Filed under: uncultured bacterium
Lineage: Bacteria
Description: partial 16S ribosomal RNA
Rfam family: Bacterial small subunit ribosomal RNA
Source: RNAcentral